AAAAAAAAAAAAACAACGAGCAUAGCUACACUAAACUUUUAACGUUCAAAAAUUCAAUGCGUACACAUAAGAAUAAAUAAAUAAGCGCGUGUAUGUAUGAAUACAUAUAAUAAAUGAUAUUUCAAUAAUUUUCAAACAACAAAAGGUUCGAGCAACUUUCUGUGAAAAAAUAAGAUGUUUAGAUGUAAUCGAAAAAUGAGUGUGUCAAGCCGUCCUCUUUACAAAGAAUCAACCCUAAACUAAUGUAAACUACGACUUUUUAAAGUUAUAAACCUUGAAAAGGACUAACGAAUCGUUGGUAGAAUAGCAGAACAAGGCGUGACUUGUGUGCGAGUGUACAUAAAGACGGAAAGUAUGUGAAACCGAGGCGCAAGAAUGGCCGCCCUUUUGCCUCUGGCCCACCUUUUGUGUCCGUGCGUGUGAAAUAAAACAAAAAAGCAACAGAAAAAGCGGAAAAAAACGAAAAAAUCGGGGAAAACGGCAACUACUACAAUCAGCGACAAUGGAAUAGCGAUUCAAUGUCACAGCAAGCGAGAUACAGAAACGGAUAACCCAUAUACAUAUACCCAUACCCACUCAUAUGUAUACCGCUCACGUAUGUAGAGAAAAGCUAUAGCCGCAGAUUAGUGAGCCAGUUUCAAGGGGACGACAACGAAGAAGCGAAGACGACGACGACAAUCAACAUUCAUCAUACGCACCGUUGGACGCGGCGCAAAACGCAAAUGCAGCCCCCGAUCGAUCGAUUUUUGAUUUUGUAUCCCCAUCAUCACCACCACCACUACCACCACAA
Drosophila takahashii is the source of this 790-nucleotide non-coding RNA. Lineage: Eukaryota; Metazoa; Arthropoda; Insecta; Diptera; Drosophilidae. The record is from RefSeq and is a predicted model, not a curated record.